AACGAACGCUGGCAGCAUGCCUAACACAUGCAAGUCGAACGAGACCUUCGGGUCUAGUGGCGCACGGGUGCGUAACGCGUGGGAACCUGCCCUUAGGUUCGGAAUAACUCCCCGAAAGGGGUGCUAAUACCGGAUAAUGUCUUCGGACCAAAGAUUUAUCGCCUUUGGAUGGGCCCGCGUUGGAUUAGCUAGUUGGUAGGGUAAAAGCCUACCAAGGCGACGAUCCAUAGCUGGUCUGAGAGGAUGAUCAGCCACACUGGGACUGAGACACGGCCCAGACUCCUACGGGAGGCAGCAGUGGGGAAUAUUGGACAAUGGGCGAAAGCCUGAUCCAGCAAUGCCGCGUGAGUGAUGAAGGCCUUAGGGUUGUAAAGCUCUUUUACCCGGGAUGAUAAUGACAGUACCGGGAGAAUAAGCUCCGGCUAACUCCGU
RNAcentral lists this ribosomal RNA (432 nucleotides) under uncultured bacterium. RNAcentral describes it as "partial 16S ribosomal RNA". It matches the Rfam family "Bacterial small subunit ribosomal RNA", at positions 29 to 506 of the family's 1533-position model. The record is from RNAcentral.